RNAcentral lists this ribosomal RNA (2781 nucleotides) under Escherichia coli. RNAcentral describes it as "partial 23S ribosomal RNA". It matches the Rfam family "Bacterial large subunit ribosomal RNA". Lineage: Bacteria; Pseudomonadati; Pseudomonadota; Gammaproteobacteria; Enterobacterales; Enterobacteriaceae. The record is from RNAcentral.
GGGUUGUGAGGUUAAGCGACUAAGCGUACACGGUGGAUGCCCUGGCAGUCAGAGGCGAUGAAGGACGUGCUAAUCUGCGAUAAGCGUCGGUAAGGUGAUAUGAACCGUUAUAACCGGCGAUUUCCGAAUGGGGAAACCCAGUGUGUUUCGACACACUAUCAUUAACUGAAUCCAUAGGUUAAUGAGGCGAACCGGGGGAACUGAAACAUCUAAGUACCCCGAGGAAAAGAAAUCAACCGAGAUUCCCCCAGUAGCGGCGAGCGAACGGGGAGGAGCCCAGAGCCUGAAUCAGUGUGUGUGUUAGUGGAAGCGUCUGGAAAGGCGCGCGAUACAGGGUGACAGCCCCGUACACAAAAAUGCACAUGCUGUGAGCUCGAUGAGUAGGGCGGGACACGUGGUAUCCUGUCUGAAUAUGGGGGGACCAUCCUCCAAGGCUAAAUACUCCUGACUGACCGAUAGUGAACCAGUACCGUGAGGGAAAGGCGAAAAGAACCCCGGCGAGGGGAGUGAAAAAGAACCUGAAACCGUGUACGUACAAGCAGUGGGAGCACGCUUAGGCGUGUGACUGCGUACCUUUUGUAUAAUGGGUCAGCGACUUAUAUUCUGUAGCAAGGUUAACCGAAUAGGGGAGCCGAAGGGAAACCGAGUCUUAACUGGGCGUUAAGUUGCAGGGUAUAGACCCGAAACCCGGUGAUCUAGCCAUGGGCAGGUUGAAGGUUGGGUAACACUAACUGGAGGACCGAACCGACUAAUGUUGAAAAAUUAGCGGAUGACUUGUGGCUGGGGGUGAAAGGCCAAUCAAACCGGGAGAUAGCUGGUUCUCCCCGAAAGCUAUUUAGGUAGCGCCUCGUGAAUUCAUCUCCGGGGGUAGAGCACUGUUUCGGCAAGGGGGUCAUCCCGACUUACCAACCCGAUGCAAACUGCGAAUACCGGAGAAUGUUAUCACGGGAGACACACGGCGGGUGCUAACGUCCGUCGUGAAGAGGGAAACAACCCAGACCGCCAGCUAAGGUCCCAAAGUCAUGGUUAAGUGGGAAACGAUGUGGGAAGGCCCAGACAGCCAGGAUGUUGGCUUAGAAGCAGCCAUCAUUUAAAGAAAGCGUAAUAGCUCACUGGUCGAGUCGGCCUGCGCGGAAGAUGUAACGGGGCUAAACCAUGCACCGAAGCUGCGGCAGCGACGCUUAUGCGUUGUUGGGUAGGGGAGCGUUCUGUAAGCCUGUGAAGGUGUGCUGUGAGGCAUGCUGGAGGUAUCAGAAGUGCGAAUGCUGACAUAAGUAACGAUAAAGCGGGUGAAAAGCCCGCUCGCCGGAAGACCAAGGGUUCCUGUCCAACGUUAAUCGGGGCAGGGUGAGUCGACCCCUAAGGCGAGGCCGAAAGGCGUAGUCGAUGGGAAACAGGUUAAUAUUCCUGUACUUGGUGUUACUGCGAAGGGGGGACGGAGAAGGCUAUGUUGGCCGGGCGACGGUUGUCCCGGUUUAAGCGUGUAGGCUGGUUUUCCAGGCAAAUCCGGAAAAUCAAGGCUGAGGCGUGAUGACGAGGCACUACGGUGCUGAAGCAACAAAUGCCCUGCUUCCAGGAAAAGCCUCUAAGCAUCAGGUAACAUCAAAUCGUACCCCAAACCGACACAGGUGGUCAGGUAGAGAAUACCAAGGCGCUUGAGAGAACUCGGGUGAAGGAACUAGGCAAAAUGGUGCCGUAACUUCGGGAGAAGGCACGCUGAUAUGUAGGUGAAGUCCCUCGCGGAUGGAGCUGAAAUCAGUCGAAGAUACCAGCUGGCUGCAACUGUUUAUUAAAAACACAGCACUGUGCAAACACGAAAGUGGACGUAUACGGUGUGACGCCUGCCCGGUGCCGGAAGGUUAAUUGAUGGGGUCAGCGCAAGCGAAGCUCUUGAUCGAAGCCCCGGUAAACGGCGGCCGUAACUAUAACGGUCCUAAGGUAGCGAAAUUCCUUGUCGGGUAAGUUCCGACCUGCACGAAUGGCGUAAUGAUGGCCAGGCUGUCUCCACCCGAGACUCAGUGAAAUUGAACUCGCUGUGAAGAUGCAGUGUACCCGCGGCAAGACGGAAAGACCCCGUGAACCUUUACUAUAGCUUGACACUGAACAUUGAGCCUUGAUGUGUAGGAUAGGUGGGAGGCUUAGAAGUGUGGACGCCAGUCUGCAUGGAGCCGACCUUGAAAUACCACCCUUUAAUGUUUGAUGUUCUAACGUUGACCCGUAAUCCGGGUUGCGGACAGUGUCUGGUGGGUAGUUUGACUGGGGCGGUCUCCUCCUAAAGAGUAACGGAGGAGCACGAAGGUUGGCUAAUCCUGGUCGGACAUCAGGAGGUUAGUGCAAUGGCAUAAGCCAGCUUGACUGCGAGCGUGACGGCGCGAGCAGGUGCGAAAGCAGGUCAUAGUGAUCCGGUGGUUCUGAAUGGAAGGGCCAUCGCUCAACGGAUAAAAGGUACUCCGGGGAUAACAGGCUGAUACCGCCCAAGAGUUCAUAUCGACGGCGGUGUUUGGCACCUCGAUGUCGGCUCAUCACAUCCUGGGGCUGAAGUAGGUCCCAAGGGUAUGGCUGUUCGCCAUUUAAAGUGGUACGCGAGCUGGGUUUAGAACGUCGUGAGACAGUUCGGUCCCUAUCUGCCGUGGGCGCUGGAGAACUGAGGGGGGCUGCUCCUAGUACGAGAGGACCGGAGUGGACGCAUCACUGGUGUUCGGGUUGUCAUGCCAAUGGCACUGCCCGGUAGCUAAAUGCGGAAGAGAUAAGUGCUGAAAGCAUCUAAGCACGAAACUUGCC